GUGCUGACAUUUUCUUCAAUCUGCUGAAAGUUGAGGUUGAGUCUCGCUCUAUUUAUUUUGCAGGUUGUAAAGCUGCUUGCUCAUAUUAGCAAUAAGGAUCUAUUUGCUGAAUUCUAUAGGUAAUGUUCUAAUUUAUUGGUUAGUUGAUAGGCUUUAAUUUGGUAAGAAUGUAGUGAAUUUUAAACACUCCUGGUCACGGAACUUAUAGCAGAAUUCUGUGUUGGUUACUAAACUUCAUUUUGUUACUAGUUAGUCAAUAAAUUCAACUUUGUUUUGACUUAGUCGCUAAAUUUAUAUAUUUAUUACUAUUUGGUCAUUUCGUAUCCGUCUACUAGUUUGACUUACAGAAAAACUGACACACAAUCUAUUUAGCAAAUAAUUAACACCGCCACAUCAAAAUGGAUGUGGUGACCAAAUUGUAACAAAGUUUAGAUCCAACAGCCAACUUUCAACAAAAUGAACUCUAGUUAUCUCCAGAGUAUUUAACCCUAUAUUAAGAUGUCAAUGGAUUGAUUAUAUUGACAAGAAAAGACUUGCUCGGCGGCUAUUAUUUUACAAGAGCGCCAAUGAUAAGCAUGAAGAAGUAUGCUAAAAAAGUUGCAGCAACAACGUGGUGGUCUAUUUACAUAAAAAAAAUGGAGAGAAUGGUUAGCUCAUAUUAUCUAUAUGCUGAAUCAUAGCUCUCAUAAUGAUCUUAAUAUCACCUAUGUUUCACCUUUUUCAACUAUUCCAAGUUUUAACACUAAAAAGAGAAAAUCAAACCAGGUAUGAAGAGUAUCUUAGCAAUAAUCCAAAUGCAAGUCCCUGGAUAGAUUUGAUUGUUACUGUCCUGACUACUAAUUUCUGGCCAAGUUACAACUCCUUUGAUCUUAAGGCUUGUUUGAGCCCCAUUAUUUAGAAAAAAUGUAUUAUUCUACAGUAUUUUGACAUCAUUUCAACCACACAUUUUUUAAUAAAAUAAUAUUUUACGUAAAUCCAAAACUUUUUCUUAUUUUUUAACCAUAUAUUUUCCAUCAAUACACUAUUCAAAAAUUCAUUUUUCCUCCCAAAUGGGGCUCAAACAAGGGCUUAAUCUGUCUGCUGAGAUGGUACUAAUGUAAGCAAUGUCUCUUUUUAAUGGAAUAGAUCGAUUGACAGUCAUAUUUCUUUAUUACAAUGAACUUUUGUGUUAGGUCAAGUGCGUCGAAGUAUUUAGAAACUUCUACUAGAUGAAAAUGAAACACAAAAAACUAACAUGGAUAUUGUAGAAAUUGGGUUGCUGCCUUUGCAAAGCCCAAAGUUAAUAUAUCCAACCCAUGACCCGGUUAAAUGGCCCAACUAGAAGAAUAAUCUGGAAGCUCAUUUGGUUAAAGGAAAACACGUUUUUUCAAUUGUGAAAAAACGAAUCUCACCUGAUCUUGACACUUGGCAAUUGCUGGACCAUUGGAUCAAAUGAUUUGUUUCUUUCAUAUAAAAGAAACCAAUAAUGCCUAGGGUUUGUGUUGCUCUCAUUUUACGCAGCCUUCAUUUUUGAGUUAAAAUUUCUCUUUGUAUUUUUUGCUCUCUCAUCUUGAAUCUUGUUGAUUCUUUCUUGUUGGUUGAGAGUAUGCGUGAUGUUAUGAACUCUUGUGUGAGUUCUUCGUGUUGCUGAGGGGAUUUGUUAUCGUUGUGGUUAGAACUGUGUGUUCCGUUUGUAGCUCAAAACUGCUAUAAUUUGAUCCGCGUUUUUUAGUGGAUUCGAGCUUAUUCUUUCAUGGAUGCUCAAUGGGGACUAGGCGAUCUGAUAAAUCGCCGAACCUCGGGGUUUCGACCAAAAAUUGCUUGUGUUCUCUUUACUGUUUUUCAGAUCUACAAAUCUUGAUUUUUAGUCUUGCUAUUUUUGAUGGUUUUGAAACGUUCCUAGGGUUCCUUCAGUGGUAUCAGAGCAAGGAAUAUUUUUCUUUAGCUAUUUUUAGUUCCCGUUUAGGUUAAGGGUCUGAAAUUUCUUCACCGGCCGAAAGGAAAACAGCAGAUCUUUCAAGAUCUGCAAACAUUAAAUUUAAAAAAAAAAACUGUUUUUCUUUCUUUUCUGUUGUGUAAUACUGAAAUAAUUUUUUUUGGGCACUGUAAGGUGUGCUUCCUUCACCCUUAGAAAAUCAGUGUGGAUGUCGCCUUUUCUUCAAGAAGCUGAAGUUUUCUUCUUGGUUGUUGGAGUCCUCUUAAUUCGGUUGGUGUUGUCCUUAAAACUGGAAAGAAAUUCAUUGAUGCUGCAGGACUUGAUUACGUGCAGUGUUGGUGUUGAACUUUGUAUACAAUUGUGUAUUUGUAAAUGUUGCAGUAUAGUGAUAAUUUUUUGAGUAUACAGUAAGCAGUAAACUAACCUGUUUCUUGGUGAAAUUACAGACUUUUCUUGUUUGUUUUGCGGUACCUGUAGUCUACAGACAUUGAAUUUGUGAUUAAUCAGUUUCUGUAUUGUAUUGUUGGUACAUUUAGUUCUUGGAAGUAUUAUUUUGGUAAUAAAAUCAUUUUUCAAACUAGGGUUUCACAGAACCUCCUCUAACUCUACCUCUGUCUAGGGUUUCCUGAGAGAACCCUAGAAACUUUGGGGAUUAGGGAUUCGGUUCAAGAAACCUGUAAUCUUCAAAACUGUUUUUUUUUAAUUCUCACUGUCUGUGAAUAAUAAAACCAAAAAUUAUAUUUCCACAGUUAAAUUCUUGUACAUUCUAUGUGAACUGUACUAAUACUCAAAUUGAUCUUCUCAGGUGUUGAAUUGCCUAAGAAUAAUUGCUUCAAAGGUACAUACAUAGCAUUUACAAUUUUUUGUAACUUACUGUGUAUAAGUUUAUGUAAUUAAAUUCAUUGCAUGCUUAGUGAUCUGAAUAUUGAAUGUGUCUUAAUUUGGUUGUAAUAAUUCUGUACACAUCACACUAAAGCACAAUCCAUAUAUAAUCUAAAAUUGGUAUAAUAAGACAGUGAUCGUUGUGAUAUACUGUUUGACUGAAUUACUACUUGUGAACAAUUUCACACUAUAACAUACCAUGAACUCUAAGGUAAAUGUCCAAAUUUGGGAUGACAAAGGAGACUUUAGUCUCUGGCGUCAGAAAAUAAAAGCACUCUUGUUACAGUUAAAAUAUGCUAAGGCUAUUGAUGAAUCUUGGCCUGAAACCUUAUCUGAGGCUAGGAAAAUUGAGCAAGAUAAACUAGCCUGGAGCACUUUGUUCCUACACUUGUCUGACACUGUGAUUAGAAAAGUAGGAGAAACUAAAACUGCUGUAGAAUUAUGGACUGCCCUAGAAAAACACUACCUCACUAAGACUAUACCAAAUAAAUGUUUUCCUUGGAGAUAGUUCUUUAGUUUCAAGUUUCAUCCUAAUCUUGAUAUGGGAGAUAAUAUGGAUAGGUUUAAUAGGAUCACACAAGACUUAGCAAACUGUGAUGAGAAAAUUUCUGAUGAACAGAAGGUAGUUGGCCUACUUAAUGCUCUAGGAGAUAAAUAUAAAGAUAUAAGAAAUGCUCUAAAAUAUGGUAAAAGUGAUCUCACUGUUGAAAUAAUUCACAGUUUUCUUCUGAAUAAAGAACUUGAAUUAAAAUCUGAACACAAAGAAGUGUACCAUGUUGAGGGUGUGUCAUCAAAUCAAAAACUAUAUGCUAAAGGAGUAAGUAAUUUCAGUGAUUCCAAUUUUAACAAGAAAAAAAACUUUAACAAAAGGCAAUGGAAUAACACCAAAGGAAAAGGCAAGAAACCAAUUAAAGGAAAAGCGAACAGCAAUAGUAACAGAAAAUGUUUUUACUGUGAAAAAACAGGUCACUUUAUUAAAGACUGUUUUAAAAAGGCAAAUGACCAAAAGAAUGGAUCUAACACUGAAAAUGUUUCUUUAGCAACAGCUGCUAAUUAUAAAGAAGCAGGAGCAAAUAUUGGAGUAGCCUAUGUGUCUCUAUCUGAAAAUAUUGAUCAGGACUGGUCCUGGAUUCAGGUUGUUCUUUUCAUAUGACACCCAAUAUAGGCUGCAUUUAAGACUUUUGUAGUCUGGAUGGAGGAUUUGUAAAACUUGGGAAUGAUGAGUCAUGCCAAGUGAAGGGAAUCGGAAAUGUGCUAUUGAAAUUUAAAAAUGGUCAUCACAUGUUAUUCAAACAUACAAGAUAUGUACCAGCACUUAGAAGAAAUCUCAUAUCCCUAGGAGUUCUUGAUGAUGAAAAUUAUCAAAUUAGUAUUAAAAAUGGCUUUACAAAUAUAACAAGAAAUCAAGAACUCAUUGUCAGUUCACCUAAGUUUAAUGGAAUCUAUGGAAUAGGUGCUGAAAUUAUUUCACCAAAAAAUUUUGUGAAUUCUGUCACACGUCCCGAUAAAUCAGAACUGUGGCAUAAAAGACUUGGCCACUUAAGUGAAAAAGGUUUAAAAACACUAUCAUAUCAAGGGGCAUUUGGGAAGGAUAGUGUUCAAAAAUUGACUUUUUGUGAACACUGUAUCAUGGAAAAAUAAGUCAGAAUGCCUUUUAAGGUAGGGCUGCACAAAUUCCAAGAUGUCCUUGAAUACAUACAUUCUGAUUUAUGGGGACCUGCACCCGUUCGUAUCUGGGUACAGAUAUUAUCUUCUUACAAUUGAUGAUUAUUCAAGAAAAACAUGGGUUUUCUUACUAAAAUCUAAAUCUGAUACUUUUACAAUUUUCAAAAAAUGGAAUGUACUAAUUGAAAAUCAGUCUGGUAAAAGGAUAAAAAUUUUAAGAACUGAUAAUGGGCUUGAAUUUUGCAAUACCAAAUUUGACCAAUAUUGCAGUAAACAAGGGAUAAUGAGAUAUAAAACUGUGAGUUUUACUCCACAACAAAAUGAAGUUGUCGAGAGGUUAAAUAGAACAAUUCUUGAAAGGACCAGAUAUAUGCUAAUCAGUUCUGGCCUUCCAAAAAUUUUUUGGGGUGAAGCUGUAAAAAUAGCAUGUCAUCUUAUCAUUAGAUGUCCUUCCAACUCUCUAAAUAACAGAAUUCCCGUAACAAAUCUGGUCUGGUUCAAUGCUAAAUUAUUCUCACCUAAGAACCUUUGGAUGUGUAGCCUAUACACAUCAUACUGAGUCAAAAUUGGACCCUAGAUCAUUGAAGGGUGUGUUCUUAGGAUAUGAAAAAGGUGUUAAAGGUUAUAGAUUGUGGUUAAGAAAUGUGAGGGGUUAUAAGCUGAUAACAAGCAGAUUUGUUAUCUUUAAUGAAGAUGAUUUCCCUUGUCUUAGUGACAAAUUUGAUGAAAAAUUAGGAAAAGAUGACUUUAUUAUCACAGAAAUUAAUUUUGAUAGUCAAAAUACUGAUGACCAGGCUCAGUUUAAGGUGGAGCCACAUCAGGUAUAACCACAGAAUGUCUCUUAUGUUGAAAUAUUGGAAGAUGAACAGAAUCUGGAGCUUGCACAUGACCUGCAAGGCUACCAGCUUACUAGAGACAGAGAAAGGAGGCAAAUAAGACCUCCUUCAAGAUAUCAGUAUGUUGAUUUUGCAUCUGAUCAAACUGAAUCUGAUCUGAUCAGUUUGACAUAGAACCAGCCUUUUAUGAAGAGGCUAUUUCUUCCAAAGAAUCCCCUAAGUGGAUUGCUGCGAUGGAAGAUGAAAUGAAUUCACUCUUUAAAAAUGAGACCUAGACUCUAGUUGAAAAAUCCAAAGAUUGUAAAUUGAUUGAUUAUAAAUGGGUUUAUAAAAUUAAAGAGGGUGAGACUAAAGCUAGUGAUAAAAGAUUUAAGGCAAAACUUGUAGCUAAAGGCUUUAACCAAAGGGAAGGAAUAGAUUACACUGAAAUCUUUUCACCGGUUGUUAAAUAUACAUCCAUUAGGGUCCUACUUGCUAUAGUGAUACAAUUUGACUUGGAGUUAGAACAACUCGAUGUGAAAACUGCCUUCUUGUAUGGUUCUUUAGAUGAAACCAUACAUAUGACUCAACCAAGAGGCUUUGAAGUGGAGGAAAGGGAAACUUAGUGUGUCUCUUAAAGAAAUUCUUAUAUGGCCUAAAGCAGGCCCCUAGGCAGUGGUAUAAAAUAUUUGACUCUUUUAUACAAGGUUUAAACUUCAAGAAAUCUGAAUAUGAUCCAUGUUUCUAUUAUAAGAAAGAAGGUGAAUAUGAUUUUUUCUAUCUGCUUUUGUAUGUUGAUGACAUGCUCCUUGCUGGUUAUAAUUCUAUUGCGCUUAACUUAAUUAAAGAAAAUCUGAAAUCUGAAUUUGAAAUGAAAGAUUUAGGACCAUCUAGAAAAAUUUUGGGCAUGGAAAUAAAAAGCGAUAGAAUAAAUGGAAAGUUGUUUCUAACACAAAAAUCUUAUGUUGAUAAGGUUGUUAAAAUAUUUUUCCUUCAUGAAUCUAAGCCUGUUAGCUUACCUUUAUCUGCUGGAAUGAAAUUAUCUGUUGAUCAAUCACCUAAAACUAAAGAGGAACAUAAAAGAAUGAUGAAUGUUCCGUAUUCUAAUGCUAUUGGAUCUGUAAUGUAUGUUAUGGUUUGCUCUAUACCUGAUAUCGCUUAUGCUGUGAGUGUGUUAAGCAGAUUCAUGAGUAACUCAGGUGAAAUACAUUGGCAAUGCAUGAAAAAUUUGAUUAAAUACUUGAAAGGAACUAGUAACUUAGGUUUAACGUUCAAAACUAAUAAAAAUUGACUUAGACUUAAGGGUUAUGUAGAUUCAAACUUCGCCGGUAACCCAGACAAUAGGAAGUCUACAAUUGCAUAUUUUUAUGUUAUAAAUGAUACAUGUAUUAGCUGGAAAUCUCAGGUUCAAAAAUUGGUUGCAUUGUCUUCAACCGAAACUGAAUACAUUGUUGCAACUGAAGCAGUUAAUAAGGGUUUAUGGUUAAAGGGUUUACUUAGUGAAUUAGGACUUAUAGAAAAUCAGGUGGAGCUAUGUUCAGAUAACCAAAGUACUAUCUUUCUAAGUAAAAAUCAUAUUUUGCAUGAUAGAUCCAAGAAUAUAGAUGUAAAGUUCCAUUUUAUUAGAGAUAUCAUUGAUAGGGGUGAUAUUAGAUUGAUCAAAAUACCUACUUAAGGUAAAUCUAGCAGAUGUCGGAACUAAGGUAAUCUCUAUUAGUAGGUUUCUUGAUUCUUUAAGAUUAAUAAAUCUUGAAGAAGACUGAUUUUCAUUAUUUUAUUUUUACAGGUAAUAAGAGCAAAUGAAAUGAAGUUAAGUUUUGAAUCCACAAAACAAGCACAAAAGACAGCAAAGGUGGAGAAUAUAGAAAUGGGAUAUCAUUGAUAGGGGUGAUAUUAGAUUGAUCAAAAUACCUACUUAAGGUAAAUCUAGCAGAUGUCGGAACUAAGGUAAUCUCUAUUAGUAGGUUUCUUGAUUCUUUAAGAUUAAUAAAUCUUGAAGAAGACUGAUUUUCAUUAUUUUAUUUUUACAGGUAAUAAGAGCAAAUGAAAUGAAGUUAAGUUUUGAAUCCACAAAACAAGCACAAAAGACAGCAAAGGUGGAGAAUAUAGAAAUUGGGUUGGUGCCUUUGUGAAGCCCAAAGUUAAUAUGCCCAACCCAGGACCCAGUUAAAUGGCCCAACUGGAAGAAUAAUCUAGAAGCUCAUUUGGUUAAAGGAAAACACGUUUUUUCAGUUGUGAAAAAAUGACUCUCACCUGAUCUUGACACUUGGCAAUUGCUGGACCAUUGGAUCAAAUGAUUUGUUUCUUUCAUAUAAAAGAAACUAAUAAUGCCUAGGGUUAGUGUUGCUCUCAUUUUACGCGGCCUUCAUUUUUGAGUUAAAAUUUCUCUCUGUAUUUUUGGCUCUCUCAUCUUGAAUCUUGUUGAUUCUUUCUUGUUGGUUGAGAGUAUGCAUGAUGUUAUGAACUCUUGUGUGAGUUCUUCGUGUUGUUAAGGGGAUUUGUUGUCGUUGUGACUGGAAUUGUGUGUUCCAUUUGUAGCUCAAAAUUGCUGUAAUUUGGCCGAUGUUUUUUAGUGAAUUCGAGCUUAUUCCUUCAUGGAUGCUCAACGUGGAGUAGGCGAUCUGAUAAAUCGCUAAACCUCGUGGUUUCGGCCAAAAAUCACUUGUGUUCUCUUUACUGUUUUUCAGAUCUACAAAUCUUGUUUUUUAGUCUUGCGAUUUUUGAUGGUUUUGAAACGUUCCUAGGGUUCCUUCAGAUAUAUUCUUUGGGUACUUGUAACGUCAACAUAAAAUUUGAACAAAGAACUAUAGAGUUGAUCGUGACAACCCACCAAGUGAUUUAGUAUGACUAACUUGUAAUUGAUAUUACUUGAUGAUUGAAAGUUCUUUCCCUUUUUGUAGGCUGGUGUAUUGCUUCUGUUCAAUUCCUCAGAUAGAUUAAGUUAUAAGGAAAAAAUGACCCAGUUGAAUAUAUUAGAUGAUGCUGUUGUUAUUAACAAGGAGCCGAACACCAAAACAGUUUCUUCGACUGAUGUUUUUGAAUUCAACUCCAAGUUUACCGAUAAAAUGAGAAGAAUCAAGGUAAUCAUUCACCCCAACCCCCAUUCCCCUGAAAGCCAAGUGGGAGAGAUAAUUAGAUCCUCAGUAAAAAUCUGUUAAUUUCUAACGGAAUGUCUGACUCAAACCUCCAUGUUGAUGCUACAUUAGAUUGUUGUCUUCCAUGUUGGAAAUUUUUUAAAAAAAAGAAUUAACGGAGUUCAAUCGAUUAAAACAAAAAGUGAACUUCAUUUACCAUUUGAAAAAUAAAUAAAGUAUUGUGAAUAAAAUAAAACUUUGAUAUCAAUUGAGUGACUGACUAUGUUUUGAUCCCGAUAGUAAAAUAAAAAGAGGAAUACGAAGUGAAAUAAAUUCUAAUGUUAUUGCAUUGUUUUCAUAUACAUUAUCUGCUUGUAACCGUUGCCAUGGAAGUGCAGAUCUCUCUCCCUCCGAUUGAUGAGAAGAAAAAGAUAAUUGAAGGUGUUGAAAAGGAAAGAUGGUACGCCAUGGAUGCCUAAAUUGUGCUUAUAAUGAAAUAUAGGAAAGUUUUAGGCUAUCAACAGUUGGUUAUGGAGUGUGUAAAAGAAAUUGGGGUACGUGUUCAAGGUUCUUCUAGUUGACUGAUUUAUUUUGUUUUGAUCGAACUAAUGAAAUGUAAAUGUGCACUCUAUAGCC
This 8987-nucleotide long non-coding RNA is filed under the name Olea europaea subsp. europaea. Lineage: Eukaryota; Viridiplantae; Streptophyta; Magnoliopsida; Lamiales; Oleaceae. The record is from RNAcentral.